GAGGGAGGGUGCUAGCGUUGUUCGGAAUUACUGGGCGUAAAGGGCGCGUAGGCGGCCUGGUCAGUCGGGUGUGAAAGCCCGGGGCUCAACCCCGGAACGGCACCCGAGACGGUCAGGCUGGAGACCGGGAGAGGAGGGUGGAAUAGCCAAUGUAGAGGUGAAAUUCGUAGAUAUUGGCUGGAACACCGGUAGCGAAAGCGGCUCUCUGGCCCGGUUUUGACGCUGAGGCGCGAAAGCGUGGGGAGCAAACAUG
RNAcentral lists this ribosomal RNA (253 nucleotides) under uncultured bacterium. RNAcentral's name for it is "partial 16S ribosomal RNA". It matches the Rfam family "Bacterial small subunit ribosomal RNA", at positions 524 to 776 of the family's 1533-position model. The record is from RNAcentral.